This 253-nucleotide ribosomal RNA is filed under the name uncultured bacterium. Its description in RNAcentral is "partial 16S ribosomal RNA". It matches the Rfam family "Bacterial small subunit ribosomal RNA", at positions 524 to 776 of the family's 1533-position model. The record is from RNAcentral.
UACGUAGGGGGCUAGCGUUGUCCGGAAUCAUUGGGCGUAAAGAGCGUGUAGGCGGUCCGGUAAGUCCGCUGUGAAAGUCGGGGGCUCAACCCUCGAAUGCCGGUGGAUACUGUCGGGCUAGAGUGCGGAAGAGGCGAGUGGAAUUCCCGGUGUAGCGGUGAAAUGCGCAGAUAUCGGGAAGAACACCCGUGGCGAAGGCGGCUCUCUGGGACGGUACUGACGCUGAGACGCGAAAGCGUGGGGAGCGAACAGG